UACGUAGGGUGCAAGCGUUGUCCGGAAUUAUUGGGCGUAAAGAGCUUGUAGGCGGUUUGUCGCGUCUGCUGUGAAAUUUCGGGGCUCAACCCCGAACUUGCAGUGGGUACGGGCAGACUAGAGUGUGGUAGGGGAGACUGGAACUCCUGGUGUAGCGGUGGAAUGCGCAGAUAUCAGGAAGAACACCAACGGCGAAGGCAGCUCGCUGGGACGGUACUGACGCUGAGACGCGAAAGCGUGGGGAGCGAACAGG
This 253-nucleotide ribosomal RNA is filed under the name uncultured bacterium. Its description in RNAcentral is "partial 16S ribosomal RNA". It matches the Rfam family "Bacterial small subunit ribosomal RNA", at positions 524 to 776 of the family's 1533-position model. The record is from RNAcentral.